AGAACGAACGCUGGCGGCAUGCCUAACACAUGCAAGUCGAACGUGAUCCAGGCUUCGGCCUGGUGAAAGUGGCAGACGGGUGAGUAACGCGUGGGAACCUGCCCUGUGGUAGGGAAUAACCGUGGGAAACUGCGGCUAAUACCCUAUGAGUCCUUCGGGAGAAAGAUUUAUCGCCAUAGGAGGGGCCCGCGUCGGAUUAGGUAGUUGGUGGGGUAACGGCCUACCAAGCCUUCGAUCCGUAGCUGGUCUGAGAGGAUGAUCAGCCACACUGGGACUGAGAUACGGCCCAGACUCCUACGGGAGGCAGCAGUGGGGAAUAUUGGACAAUGGGGGGCAACCCUGAUCCAGCAAUGCCGCGUGGAUGAUGAAGGCCUUCGGGUUGUAAGUCCGUUUCGGCGGGAAGAUGAUGACGUACCGCAGAAGAGCCCGGCUAACUUCGCGCCAGCAGCCGC
RNAcentral lists this ribosomal RNA (452 nucleotides) under uncultured bacterium. RNAcentral describes it as "SSU rRNA". It matches the Rfam family "Bacterial small subunit ribosomal RNA", at positions 26 to 518 of the family's 1533-position model. The record is from RNAcentral.